RNAcentral lists this non-coding RNA (76 nucleotides) under Butyrivibrio fibrisolvens. RNAcentral describes it as "c-di-GMP sequence". It matches the Rfam family "c-di-GMP-I riboswitch aptamer". Rfam says of the family: GEMM was predicted in a large-scale screen for bacterial structured RNA regulatory elements. Genes associated with GEMM are involved in a diverse array of functions, including chemotaxis regulation, signal transduction, secretion and chitin. The record is from RNAcentral. Lineage: Bacteria; Bacillati; Bacillota; Clostridia; Lachnospirales; Lachnospiraceae. RNAcentral also lists the same sequence under 1 other name.
AGAUAAUCUUAGCAAAAUAAGCGAAAGCUUAUGACGCAAAGCUAUAGGGCCUGUAAAAUGGCAGCCAGUUGCACUG